UACAGAGGUGCCAAGCGUUGUUCGGAUUUAUUGGGCGUAAAGGGUGUGUAGGCGGUUAUGAAAGUCGGGUGUGAAAUACCGGAGCCUAACUCCGGAACGGCAUUCGAAACUCCAUAGCUAGAGAUCUGGAGAGGUGACUGGAAUUCUCGGUGUAGCAGUGAAAUGCGUAGAUAUCGUAAGGAAGACCAGUGGCGAAGGCGGGUCUCUGGACAGUUCCUGACGCUGAGGCACGAAGGUCAGGGGAGCAAACGGG
RNAcentral lists this ribosomal RNA (253 nucleotides) under uncultured bacterium. RNAcentral describes it as "partial 16S ribosomal RNA". It matches the Rfam family "Bacterial small subunit ribosomal RNA", at positions 524 to 776 of the family's 1533-position model. The record is from RNAcentral.